Molecule: ribosomal RNA, 497 nt
Filed under: uncultured bacterium
Lineage: Bacteria
Description: partial 16S ribosomal RNA
Rfam family: Bacterial small subunit ribosomal RNA
Source: RNAcentral
GAUGAACGCUGGCGGCGUGCCUAAUACAUGCAAGUCGAGCGAACGGACGAGAAGCUUGCUUCUCUGAUGUUAGCGGCGGACGGGUGAGUAACACGUGGAUAACCUACCUAUAAGACUGGGAUAACUUCGGGAAACCGGAGCUAAUACCGGAUGAUAUUUUGAACCGCAUGGUUCAAAAGUGAAAGACGGUCUUGCUGUCACUUAUAGAUGGAUCCGCGCUGCAUUAGCUAGUUGGUAAGGUAACGGCUUACCAAGGCAACGAUGCGUAGCCGACCUGAGAGGGUGAUCGGCCACACUGGAACUGAGACACGGUCCAGACUCCUACGGGAGGCAGCAGUAGGGAAUCUUCCGCAAUGGGCGAAAGCCUGACGGAGCAACGCCGCGUGAGUGAUGAAGGUCUUCGGAUCGUAAAACUCUGUUAUUAGGAAAGAACAUAUGUGUAAGUAACUGUGCACAUCUUGACGGUACCUAAUCAGAAAGCCACGGCUAACUACGUG